This 587-nucleotide ribosomal RNA is filed under the name uncultured Methylotenera sp. Its description in RNAcentral is "bacterial SSU rRNA". It matches the Rfam family "Bacterial small subunit ribosomal RNA", at positions 8 to 590 of the family's 1533-position model. The record is from RNAcentral. Lineage: Bacteria; Pseudomonadati; Pseudomonadota; Betaproteobacteria; Nitrosomonadales; Methylophilaceae.
AGGGUUUGAUCAUGGCUCAGAUUGAACGCUGGCGGAAUGCUUUACACAUGCAAGUCGAAUGGCAGCACGGACUUCGGUCUGGUGGCGAGUGGCGAACGGGUGAGUAAUGUACCGGAACGUAUCCAGUAAUGGGGGAUAACUAAUCGAAAGGUUGGCUAAUACCGCAUACGCCCUACGGGGGAAAGCAGGGGAUCUUCGGACCUUGCGUUAAUGGAGCGGCCGAUAUCUGAUUAGCUAGUUGGUGAGGUAAGAGCUCACCAAGGCGACGAUCAGUAGCUGGUCUGAGAGGACGACCAGCCACACUGGAACUGAGACACGGUCCAGACUCCUACGGGAGGCAGCAGUGGGGAAUUUUGGACAAUGGGCGCAAGCCUGAUCCAGCCAUUCCGCGUGAGUGAAGAAGGCCUUCGGGUUGUAAAGCUCUUUCGCAAGGGAAGAAACGAUGCGGACGAAUAAUCUGUGUUAAUGACGGUACCUUGAUAAGAAGCACCGGCUAACUACGUGCCAGCAGCCGCGGUAAUACGUAGGGUGCAAGCGUUAAUCGGAAUUACUGGGCGUAAAGCGUGCGCAGGCGGUUUUGUAAGUCA